UUAGCAACCCCAGCUUAUCACUGAUAAGCCUCCAGAUUAACUGGAAAACUGCAGAAAUCUGACCCCAGUCGUAAACUUUUUCAUGUAAAAUCAUCAAAUGAUAAUCAAUCAAAACAAGAUAUACAUGUUUAAAAAGCUAAUAAAAUUAUCUACAAUUUGCAUAUUUUACUUGUUAUUUUAUUGCCAUAUUAUCGGAUUUAUGAUCUUGUUAUCCAACAGAUCACGGUAAUUUACACCCGAUCUCAGAUAAACAGUAAACAUGCAGCGUUCGCGUGACACCAUGUGUCUUUGUUUCAAUAUGCGACUGGUUUAAUAGCUAUGAAUAUUAAUGAGUUUAAUAUAUCCAAUCAGAAAAAAGGUUUAUGAAUACAUUACAACUUGAUGCAUAUUCGUACGAUACUUAAAAGGAAAGAUAUAGUCCCCCAAAGUUGACCGUUUUUUUCUCAGAAAAUACGAAUUUUUCAGACAUGCACCAUGCACCAAUGCAAAAUAUACAUUCUGAAGUUUAAUUUGGUACCAAAAUCAUUUUUCGGAAACGCCAUUUACCCGGUCGCAUUUAUUUCUGAAAAUUGCAAUUUUCGGAAAAUCCAAAGGUCACGCACGUUUCAGGCCGACCGCCAUUUUGAAAUUUAUGAUAACACAACACCGAUACAAAAUAUCGUUAAAAAUCAAUAAAUCUGUUCAUUAAAAAAACAGGAAAACGAUUAAAAAUGAAAUGAAUGUUAAAUCAUAACAUUUGGUCAGCUAUGACAGAGAUAUACCUAGGCCCAUUUUGUGAUUGUGAUGCACACAGUACUAUCACAAAGUUAUAGACUGGACGUAUCAAGAAAACAAUCAAACCAUUAUUAAACAGCAUUAUGAUUGAAAUAAACCAUUUUGUCAAGACACCGGGGUUCAAAUAAAGUGAUUUGUUUAAUGUCUUUGUGCAUUCAAAUCAGUGUCAAUAAGACUGACAACUGGUACCCUGGCUUUGGAGAAAGUUGUGAAUGAUUCUACAGCGGUUGUCAAGUUCAUGACUCACUGUUGUAAGCUGGCCACUGAGAGAAGAUAAGCAAGUUAUAAACAUUUAGUUCGUGAUUGGCCAGAAAUUGGUGCCAGACUGUAUAAAUGCGGUUAGAUGAUGCCAUCAUGGUGAACAUAAGCACUUACAUACGGUAUUCAGCCAGUUCAGCAGUGACUUUUUCCGUUAACGUUAACCACACUACCAGUAGAAGUUGAAUUCAAAACUGACAUUUUUCAUUUCACUUUUAAUUAGUUCAAUGACACUCUUGGGUCUAGUAAAUAUGUAUCAUAGUUUUUAUGAGCAGCUUGAAAUGAAUAAUUGCAGGUGGAAAUAAUUCUUUAUCAAGAGUAAAACUAUUUAAAUUAAUGGUAGAUAAUUUUAGCAAGUCGUAGCAGUCUAAUAGUGAAAAAAUAUUCAACAGAAAAAUAUGAAAUCAAUAUUAUUUGAAAAUAUUAUAUUUUAUUUAUAAACUUGUUCUAUGUAUAAUAAAUGUAUCUACACUGUCUUGUUCUGUAGUAAUAUUUAAAUAAAUCUGUUAAAGUGAUCAUGAAAAUGUAUGUGUAAGUGACAACUGAAAUUAUUUGAAAAUAAUGUAAAAACUUGAAAAAUAAAUUGCAUCAACCUGA
Molecule: long non-coding RNA, 1629 nt
Organism: Mercenaria mercenaria
Lineage: Eukaryota; Metazoa; Mollusca; Bivalvia; Venerida; Veneridae
Exons: 2
Source: RefSeq, a predicted model, not a curated record